Molecule: long non-coding RNA, 2384 nt
Organism: Equus caballus (horse)
Lineage: Eukaryota; Metazoa; Chordata; Mammalia; Perissodactyla; Equidae
Source: Ensembl
AGGAAAUCCACAAGGUGAGACCUAUGAUUGCCUCAGUUCUGUGCCUUUAUGCAAUUUCCUGAGUGCAACACAGGAAGCUGGAAUCCAAUCAGAUACACUGGUUCCUCUGGGCUAAAGAAGCAGAGAUCGGAGUCCAGAGAAUGUGGCAGAAUCUGAAGAGAAAUUCAUCAAAAAGGGAGACUCCAGAAGUCAUGUGGGCUUCCAGUGGGUCUUCGGCUGCAGGAGGCCUUGACAACUACGGGGGGAGAGUUCUGAGAAAAUGAAGCAAUGAAGAAAAAGGACUUCCAGGAAUCUGGACAGAGGUCUGUGACACUGAAAAGAGACGAGCAUGUAGGCCCAGCUGGGGCUCUACAGGGGACUCUGGGCAGCCAAAAGUUACAGGUGACUGGGAAUGUGAAAAAAGAGGCCACACGUUUGACAAAGGAAUACAGAAAGAAGGGAAGAAAAUCGUCCAGACCAGUCUGGACCAGACCUGAAAAUCGCUGCCAUGACCUUGUUACUCAGAGCACUUUCCACACACUUACACUAAGGAGUCAAAUCAUCCCCUUCACUCCAUUCUCCUCUACAAGUAAGCUCUGUCUUCAGGAUUAUUUACAUGACCAUCCCUUCUUCGCAAGGACAAGAUGUCUAUGAAUUACACUGGAGUCAAAUUGGCCUCGUGGAAACAAACUGCCCUUUUUCAGACAAGGGUCCAUGGAGCUUAUGAAGAGGGCAGAAAAAGCCUUAGGUUCUCUUCCAAAUGCUCAUGGUUCUGGGGGCAGGACCCGCUCAGGUUGUUUCCUCUAAGGCCCAGCCUUCCACGCUCGCUCCUGACCAGUAAGAUUCAGUAAUCCUCCUCUUGCCGUGCUCCACCACCUGUUUGGGAAGCCAGGGAAACACUGAUGACAUGACUUUAAAGAACGCAAUUUUAUUUUUGAAUUUUUUCCAUCAGGAAAUGGACUGUUGUCAACUUACGUCUUUGCUUUUUAUUGGUCAUUUUCAAUGAGUUUGUCUCUGCAUCCGUUUUCAUAUGACCUGUUGGUUCUCUGUAGCACUGGAUCUUCUGUUGGUAAAGGUAAUUAGGUAGAUGAGAUUAUUACUAUUUCAGCAGGGAAAAUAAAAGGACUUAAGCAAACCUGUUUGAGGGUAGUGCUUAAACUGGAGAAAAUUCUCUAGAUUAAAACAACAGAAGGGGAGGAAAUGAAAACCAAUUGGGGGGCUCAGAAUUGGAUCAAGAGCAGAGGAGUCUGACUCAGUGUGAAGGAAGGAAGAAGUGUAGACUGAUCUGUGCGGGUCCAUUUCUCCCAAUGAUGGCAGCUGGUAAAGGCUGCAGCCUAGCACAUUCAAAUAUUGAAUUCUGCUGUUUUUCUGAAUUGGCGUAAAAUAAUGUUUCCUGGCUACGUGAUGUCACUCUUCUUUCGUAUAGGACAUACAGAGGCUUCUUUCAGAGACGCCACAGGUUACAUUCUGUGGCUGGCUAUUAUUUCCUAUCAUAAGUAAAAAUAUGCCCCAAAUCUUAGUUAAAAGGGUAAACUACUUUCUGAUAGCAUGUUUUAAUGCAAUCUCUCAUCUUUUGUGGCUCAUUUUCUAAAUUUAUGUGACGGUCUCAGAAGGUCUCCUUGCUAUACUCACACCUUACUAGUUCUUUCAUGUGUUAAUUAGAUCUGUUAGGAUUUUUCUAAAUCCCUAAAACCAUUUAAAGAUGCUACUGAAGACUGGUCAAUAAUUCAGCUCUGGGUUUUUUAAAUUACUUUCUCAGCUCUGCAAUUUAGAGUCAAAUGAAAUUCGUUAGCACCUGUAAACUGUGUAGUUGCUUUAUCAGUGACGUGGGAUUCAGUUGGUGAACUUUGGGAGACAAACAAUAAAAUAUUGGACUGAGGGAAAUUCUCCUCUCCCCAACUUAUUUUAUAUAUUGAGUGGUAACCCCAUGCUUCUCAAUAAGCAAAAAACCCCCACCAUAUGUAAAGUGGGCUUUGGAAAUGCUAAUACAAGGAUUGAUUAAUAAGUAACCUCAUUAAUUAAAUUGAUAAACUUGAGAAUGGGUUCAAGAAGGUGAGGAAAAAGAAAUGUGUUUUAAAGAAAUUAGAUGCAUGCCAAAGAUGGAAAAUAGAUUGAAAAGGCUUGAACCUGAAGAGCAACCACUGCAGGAAAUUUAUCUCAAACAAGAACGGCCAAGCAAGCUUAAUUUCAACUUGUGGAACUUUCUCUUUUCACUUAUGUAAUAUCAUUUUCCAUUAUACUCUACUGGAAUUGUAGAAUGCAGAGCUCUUCUCCACUAUCUAAACAAAGUCAAAUAAAUAGAUUGAAUAAUAGUACCACAAAGUAGUGAUUUGUAUAAUUAAAGAAAGAAAAAGCCACUGGUGAAGAUCACUCCAACAGGGAAAGAAUAAAGUCCUAUGAAGCAG